AAAUGCGAUAAGUAAUGUGAAUUGCAGAAUUCAGUGAAUCAUCGAAUCUUUGAACGCACCUUGCGCUCCUUGGUAUUCCUUGGAGCAUGCCUGUUUGAGUAUCAUGAAAUCUUCAAAGUAAAUCUUUUGUUAACUCAAUUGGUUUCUACUUUGGUAUUGGAGGUCUUUGCAGCUUCACACCUGCUCCUCUUUGUUCAUUAGCUGGAUCUCAGUGUUAUGCUUGGUUCCACUCGGCGUGAUAAGUUAUCUAUCGCUGAGGACACUGUAAAAGGUGGCCAAGGUAAAUGCAGAUGAACCGCUUCUAAUAGUCCAUUGACUUGGACAAUACUCUUAUGAUCUGAUCUCAAAUCAGGUAGGACUACCCGCUGAACUUAAGC
Molecule: unclassified non-coding RNA, 377 nt
Filed under: plant metagenome
Description: partial contains 5.8S ribosomal RNA, internal transcribed spacer 2, and large subunit ribosomal RNA
Rfam family: 5.8S ribosomal RNA (bases 1-104)
Source: RNAcentral